UCUGACUCCAAAACACUAACCAAGCUUCUUUUGAAUUCUCAAAGCUUUGAUGGUGUAGCCGAAGUCUGUAUGAUUCUUUGGCUUUGUAUCUUUUAACA
RNAcentral lists this small RNA (98 nucleotides) under Arabidopsis thaliana (thale cress). RNAcentral describes it as "ATSL089720". Lineage: Eukaryota; Viridiplantae; Streptophyta; Magnoliopsida; Brassicales; Brassicaceae. The record is from RNAcentral.